CAAUAGCGUAUAUUUAAGUUGCUGCAGUUAAAAAGCUCGUAGUUGGAUUUCGGGUGGGAAUGGCCGGUCCGCCGUUUCGGUGUGCACUUGCUACGCCCACCUUGCUGCCGGGGACGUGCUCUUGAGUUCACGCUCGGGACACGGAGUCGGCUAGGUUACUUUGAGUAAAUUAGAGUGUUCAAAGCAGGCCUACGCUCUGAAUACAUUAGCAUGGAAUAACACGAUAGGACUCUGGCCUAUCUUGUUGGUCUGUAGGACCGGAGUAAUGAUUAAGAGGGACAGUCGGGGGCAUUCGUAUUUCAUUGUCAGAGGUGAAAUUCUUGGAUUUAUGAAAGACGAACUACUGCGAAAGCAUUUGCCAAGGAUGUUUUCAUUAA
This 377-nucleotide ribosomal RNA is filed under the name uncultured eukaryote. Its description in RNAcentral is "partial 18S ribosomal RNA". It matches the Rfam family "Eukaryotic small subunit ribosomal RNA", at positions 592 to 976 of the family's 1831-position model. The record is from RNAcentral.